This 253-nucleotide ribosomal RNA is filed under the name uncultured bacterium. RNAcentral describes it as "partial 16S ribosomal RNA". It matches the Rfam family "Bacterial small subunit ribosomal RNA", at positions 524 to 776 of the family's 1533-position model. The record is from RNAcentral.
UACGUAGGGGGCAAGCGUUAUCCGGAUUUACUGGGUGUAAAGGGAGCGUAGACGGCAAUGCAAGUCUGGAGUGAAAGGCGGGGGCCCAACCCCCGGACUGCUCUGGAAACUGUAUAGCUGGAGUGCAGGAGAGGUAGGUGGAAUUCCUAGUGUAGCGGUGAAAUGCGUAGAUAUUAGGAGGAACACCAGUGGCGAAGGCGGCUUACUGGACUGUAACUGACGUUGAGGCUCGAAAGCGUGGGGAGCAAACAGG